Molecule: long non-coding RNA, 654 nt
Organism: Sinocyclocheilus rhinocerous
Lineage: Eukaryota; Metazoa; Chordata; Actinopteri; Cypriniformes; Cyprinidae
Exons: 4
Source: RefSeq, a predicted model, not a curated record
UGCUCCACUGACACACUUCUUUUGCUCCACAGGGUAGAGAGAUCUACAGACCAGGUGAUCAAGCCUGUCAACGUGGAGGCCUUAUCCAAGUGGGUGGGUAAGAUUCCCCCAGAUGUGCUGCGGGACAUGCCUGUCAUUGCCCCCAUGCUGGCCAGGCUCAGCUAUGAUCCCCACGCCAACCCUCCCAACUACGGCCGGCCCGACCCCCUCGUCCUGGAUAACACUAGAAGGGUCUUUAAGGGUGAAUUUCAGCUACCUGAUUUUCUUAAAGAACAAACACAGCUUCAGAAGUCCCCAGAAAAGCCAAACCCAAGUUAGGAGGAGAAGACGAGAGCUUUAUCAGUAGAAGGCUGAGUAGAAGCAGAUGCCGUGGGAACAUGAUGGACUUGCAUCACCCCCGCUAUGCUGGGACCUCCAUGCAUACAAACACACAUACACACACACACACACACACACACACAGACAGACAGAGACAGACAGACAGACAGACAGACAGAGACAGGCCUCUGGACCCGGACCACUCUUUGGAGGACAGUUUUGGCCUUUGAUGUUGUACUGUAACAGUUGUGGCCUAAGAAUGUCAUUGCUGUUCUGAAUUUUGUUUUUUCUUCUUUUCUUUUUAAAAAUUAGUUUUCCACACUGUACUCUAAUUUU